GACGAACGCUGGCGGCGUGCUUAACACAUGCAAGUCGAGCGGUAAGGCCCUUCGGGGUACGACGAGCGGCGAACGGGUGAGUAACACGUGGGUGACCUGCCUUUAGCUCUGGGAUAAGCCUGGGAAACCGGGUCUAAUACCGGAUAUGACUCCGCGGCGCAUGUUGUGGGGUGGAAAGCCUUGUGCGGCUGGAGAUGGGCCCGCGGCCUAUCAGCUUGUUGGUGGGGUGAUGGCCUACCAAGGCGACGACGGGUAGCCGGCCUGAGAGGGCGACCGGCCACACUGGGACUGAGACACGGCCCAGACUCCUACGGGAGGCAGCAGUGGGGAAUAUUGCGCAAUGGGCGGAAGCCUGACGCAGCGACGCCGCGUGGGGGAUGACGGCC
Molecule: ribosomal RNA, 386 nt
Filed under: uncultured bacterium
Lineage: Bacteria
Description: bacterial SSU rRNA
Rfam family: Bacterial small subunit ribosomal RNA
Source: RNAcentral